This 468-nucleotide ribosomal RNA is filed under the name uncultured bacterium. RNAcentral's name for it is "partial 16S ribosomal RNA". It matches the Rfam family "Bacterial small subunit ribosomal RNA", at positions 28 to 507 of the family's 1533-position model. The record is from RNAcentral.
GACGAACGCUGGCGGCGUGCUUAACACAUGCAAGUCGAACGGAAAGGCCCUGCUUUUGUGGGGUGCUCGAGUGGCGAACGGGUGAGUAACACGUGAGUAACCUGCCCUUGACUUUGGGAUAACUUCAGGAAACUGGGGCUAAUACCGGAUAUGAGCUCCUGCUGCAUGGUGGGGGUUGGAAAGUUUCGGCGGUUGGGGAUGGACUCGCGGCUUAUCAUCUUGUUGGUGGGGUAGUGGCUUACCAAGGCGUUGACGGGUAGCCGGCCUGAGAGGGUGACCGGCCACAUUGGGACUGAGAUACGGCCAAGACUGCUACGGGAGGCAGCAGUGGGGAAUAUUGCAAAAAGGGCGGAAGCCUGAUGCAGCAACGCCGCGUGCGGGAUGACGGCCGUCGGGUUGUAAACCGCGUUCGCCUGGGACGAAGAGUGAGUGACGGUAAUGGGUAAAGAAGCAACGGCUAACUACGUG